Molecule: ribosomal RNA, 489 nt
Filed under: uncultured bacterium
Lineage: Bacteria
Description: bacterial SSU rRNA
Rfam family: Bacterial small subunit ribosomal RNA
Source: RNAcentral
GAUGAACGCUAGCUACAGGCUUAACACAUGCAAGUCGAGGGGCAGCAUGAACUUAGCUUGCUAAGUUUGAUGGCGACCGGCGCACGGGUGAGUAACACGUAUCCAACCUUCCGUUUACUCAGGGAUAGCCUUUCGAAAGAAAGAUUAAUACCUGAUAGUAUGGUGAGAUUGCAUGAUAGCACCAUUAAAGGAUUCCGGUAAAGGAUGGGGAUGCGUUCCAUUAGGCAGUUGGCGGGGUAACGGCCCACCAAACCUACGAUGGAUAGGGGUUCUGAGAGGAAGGUCCCCCACAUUGGAACUGAGACACGGUCCAAACUCCUACGGGAGGCAGCAGUGGGGAAUAUUGGUCAAUGGGCGAGAGCCUGAACCAGCCAAGUAGCGUGAAGGAUGACUGCCCUAUGGGUUGUAAACUUCUUUUAUAAAGGAAUAGAGUCGGGUAUGGAUACCCGUUUGCAUGUACUUUAUGAAUAAGGAUCGGCUAACUCCGUG